RNAcentral lists this ribosomal RNA (577 nucleotides) under uncultured bacterium. Its description in RNAcentral is "bacterial SSU rRNA". It matches the Rfam family "Bacterial small subunit ribosomal RNA", at positions 338 to 916 of the family's 1533-position model. The record is from RNAcentral.
CCUACGGGAGGCAGCAGUGAGGAAUAUUGGACAAUGGGCGCAAGCCUGAUCCAGCCAUGCCGCGUGCAGGAAGAAGCAUCUAUGGUGUGUAAACUGCUUUUGUACGGGAAGAAACACUGCUACGUGUAGCAGCUUGACGGUACCGUAAGAAUAAGGAUCGGCUAACUCCGUGCCAGCAGCCGCGGUAAUACGGAGGAUCCAAGCGUUAUCCGGAAUCAUUGGGUUUAAAGGGUCCGUAGGCGGUUUGGUAAGUCAGUGGUGAAAGCCCAUCGCUUAACGAUGGAACGGCCAUUGAUACUGCCAGACUUGAAUUACUAGGAAGUAACUAGAAUAUGUAGUGUAGCGGUGAAAUGCUUAGAUAUUACAUGGAAUACCAAUUGCGAAGGCAGGUUACUACUAGUUUAUUGACGCUGAUGGACGAAAGCGUGGGGAGCGAACAGGAUUAGAUACCCUGGUAGUCCACGCCGUAAACGAUGGAUACUAGCUGUUCGGGGUAACCUGAGUGGCUAAGCGAAAGUGAUAAGUAUCCACCUGGGGAGUACGUUCGCAAGAAUUGAAACUUNAAAGGAAUUGACGG